CACGGGGGGAGCAAGCGUUGUUCGGAUUCAUUGGGCGUAAAGAGCUCGUAGGCGGCUUGUCACGUCGGGUGUGAAAGCCCGGGGCUUAACCCCGGGUCUGCAUUCGAUACGGGCUAGCUAGAGUGUGGUAGGGGAGAUCGGAAUUCCUGGUGUAGCGGUGAAAUGCGCAGAUAUCAGGAGGAACACCGGUGGCGAAGGCGGGUCUCUGGGCAGUAACUGACGCUGAGGAGCGAAAGCGUGGGGAGCGAACAGG
RNAcentral lists this ribosomal RNA (253 nucleotides) under uncultured bacterium. RNAcentral's name for it is "partial 16S ribosomal RNA". It matches the Rfam family "Bacterial small subunit ribosomal RNA", at positions 524 to 776 of the family's 1533-position model. The record is from RNAcentral.